UGUCUAAUAGCUUAAUGGAGGAGCAAGUGGAGGUUUCACUGGACGUAGGUUCGAUUCCUGCUUAGACAGCCA
RNAcentral lists this transfer RNA (72 nucleotides) under Flavobacterium sp. RNAcentral's name for it is "tRNA-OTHER". It matches the Rfam family "tRNA". From Rfam's summary of the family: Transfer RNA (tRNA) molecules are approximately 80 nucleotides in length. Their secondary structure includes four short double-helical elements and three loops (D, anti-codon, and T loops). Further hydrogen bonds mediate the characteristic L-shaped molecular structure. tRNAs have two regions of fundamental functional importance: the anti-codon, which is responsible for specific mRNA codon recognition, and the 3' end, to which the tRNAs corresponding amino acid is attached (by aminoacyl-tRNA synthetases). tRNAs cope with the degeneracy of the genetic code in two manners: having more than one tRNA (with a specific anti-codon) for a particular amino acid; and 'wobble' base-pairing, i.e. permitting non-standard base-pairing at the 3rd anti-codon position. The record is from RNAcentral. Lineage: Bacteria; Pseudomonadati; Bacteroidota; Flavobacteriia; Flavobacteriales; Flavobacteriaceae.